Long non-coding RNA from Felis catus (domestic cat), 723 nucleotides. RefSeq lists it as uncharacterized. The transcript is spliced from 3 exons. The record is from RefSeq and is a predicted model, not a curated record. NCBI's taxonomy places the organism in Eukaryota, Metazoa, Chordata, Mammalia, Carnivora, Felidae.
UGGAUGCUUGUAUCCCCCCCGCCCCACCAUCUCAUAGGUUGAAAUCCUCGUCUCCAGUGGGAUGGUAUCAGAAGGUGGGGCUUAGGGCGCGAAGGUGGAGGCAUCACGAAUGGGAUUACUGCCCUUGUAAGCGGGACCCCACAGAGCUAUCUUGCCCUAUGAAGACUCAGCAAGAUGACGGCUUUGACAGCACCCUGACCUUGGACUUCUAGCCUUCAGAACUGGACCCCAAGGAUUACAUUGGGCCCACCGGAUAGUCCAAGAUAACCCCCCACCUACAAGUCAGCACGCUGGGGAUUGCAUUUGUUUUUAUGGCAGGAUUCUUGGGAUCCGGCCAAGCAUGUCCAAACUGUAUCAAUAGCGAAACAGUGUGUUCACAGAACUCCAAGGACUCACUUUCAGAAUUCAAGUUGGAGAGUAAAGAAGAGAUUGUGUCAGCUCAAGCCGGGCGCACUGGAGAAACAAGAGAAGGGAAUGAGAGAGAGGUAGCUCUGGACCCAGGCAGAGGCCAUCACCUCCGGGAACCUCGUUCCUUCAUCUGUAAAUGGAAAGGAUGCCUCUUUGGCCCGAAGGAACCGAUGAAUGUAAAGACUGCUGCCAUGGCUCUUUGCAGCAAUACAUGCAGGUUCCGUCCAUCUGUGUUUACUCUUUGACCCAGCGAUUCUUCCAGGAGUUUACCCUGAAGCGACCCCUCCUCCAAUAAAAACGAUCUAUGCAAAAGCG